GACGAACGCUGGCGGCGUGCUUAACACAUGCAAGUCGAACGGAAAGGCCCUUCGGGGUACUCGAGUGGCGAACGGGUGAGUAACACGUGGGUGAUCUGCCCUGCACUUUGGGAUAAGCCUGGGAAACUGGGUCUAAUACCGAAUAUGAUCAUCGGCUUCAUGGUCGGUGGUGGAAAGCUUUUGCGGUGUGGGAUGGGCCCGCGGCCUAUCAGCUUGUUGGUGGGGUAAUGGCCUACCAAGGCGACGACGGGUAGCCGGCCUGAGAGGGUGACCGGCCACACUGGGACUGAGAUACGGCCCAGACUCCUACGGGAGGCAGCAGUGGGGAAUAUUGCACAAUGGGCGCAAGCCUGAUGCAGCGACGCCGCGUGAGGGAUGACGGCCUUCGGGUUGUAAACCUCUUUCAGCACAGACGAAGCGCAAGUGACGGUAUGUGCAGAAGAAGAACCGGCCAACUACGUG
RNAcentral lists this ribosomal RNA (462 nucleotides) under uncultured bacterium. Its description in RNAcentral is "partial 16S ribosomal RNA". It matches the Rfam family "Bacterial small subunit ribosomal RNA", at positions 28 to 507 of the family's 1533-position model. The record is from RNAcentral.